Molecule: ribosomal RNA, 1436 nt
Filed under: metagenome
Description: bacterial SSU rRNA
Rfam family: Archaeal small subunit ribosomal RNA
Source: RNAcentral
UCCCGUUUAUCCUGCGGGAGAUCGCUGCUAUUGGGAUUCGACUAAGCCAUGCAAGUCCAGGGGGUCUUCGGACCACCGGCGGAAUGCUCAGUAACACGUCGAUAACCUACCCUUAGAUUUGGGAUACCCUUGGGAAACUGAGGUUAAACCCGGAUAGGGGAUUAAAACUGGAAUGUUUUUUCCCUUAAAGGCAACGUCUAAGGAUGGGUCGGCGGCCGAUUAGGCUGUUGGUGGGGUAAAGGCCCACCAAAACCCAAGAUCGGUAGGGGCCGUGAGAGCGGUAGCCUCGAGAAGGGUACUGAGGUACUGACCCUAGCCCUACGGGGUGCAGCAGGCGCGAAACCCUUACAAUGCACGAAAGUGUGAUAAGGGAAUCCCAAGUGCUUAUGCUUUGCAUAGGCUUUUGCCAAGAUUAAAACUCUUGGCGAAUAAGUGGUGGGCAAGACCGGUGCCAGCCGCCGCGGUAACACCGGCGCCACAAGUGGGGAUCAUGUUUAUUGGGCCUAAAGCGUCCGUAGCCGGUUAAGUAAAUCUUUUGUGAAAUCGUUGCGCUUAACGUAACGGCGGGCAGAAGACACUGCUUAACUCGAGACCGGGAGGAGUCAGAAGUAUGCUUGGGGGAGCGGUAAAAUGCUAUAAUCCUUUGCAGACUACCAGUGGCGAAGGCGUCUGACUAGAACGGAUCUGACGGUGAGGGACGAAAGCCAGGGGAUCAAUCCGGAUUAGAUACCCGAGUAGUCCUGGCCGUAAACGCUGCGAGCUAGGCGUUGCACAUUCUCCGUGAAUGUGCAGUGUCGAAGCGAAGGUGUUAAGCUCGCCGCCUGGGAAGUACGGUCGCAAGACUGAAACUUAAAGGAAUUGGCGGGGGAGCACCACAAGGGGUGCGGCGUGCGGUUUAAUCUAACUUAACGCAGAGAAUCUCACCAGGAGCGACGGCAGGAUGAAAGACAGUCUGAAGGGCUUUCUUGACGAGCCGAGAGGUAGUGCAUGGCCGUCGUCAGCUCGUGCUGUGAAGUGUCCUCUUAAGUGAGGCAACGAGCGAGACCUGUACCUACAAUUGCUAGCGAGUCCAUCGGACGAUCGAGCACAUUGUGUGGACUGCCUUGGAAACAAGGAGGAAGGUGCAGGCAACGGUAGGUCUGUAUGCUCCGAAUCCCCUGGGCAACACGCGCGCAACAAUGGAAGGUACAAUGGGAUGCGACUCCGAAAGGAGCAGCUAAUCCUCGAAAACCUUUCUUAGUCCAGAUCGAGGGUUGUAACUCACCCUCGUGACGACGGAAUCCCUAGUAAUCGGACGUUAUCAUCGUCCGGUGAAUAUGUCCCUGCUCCUUGCACACACCGCCCGUCAAACCAACCGAGCAGGGUUUAGAUGAAACUUAGUUUCUUGAUUAAGCUGAAUCUAAGCUCAGUAAGGUGGGUUAAGUCGUCACAAGGUA